UUUGAAAUUAUUAAUUAACUUAUAUGUCGAUUUUAGAAAUUAAAGAAAUAUGUCUUAACAAAGUUAUAUAAAUGGGAAAAGUUCAAGUAACGAUUAAAAAUCAAUUAUAUUAUUUAUAGUUUAAAGUAAUGAAAAUGAAAUUUUUCAAAAAAAAAUAAGUAAAAUUUUUUUUGUACCUUUUGUAUCAGGGUUGAUUAAUAUAUUCUAUUAACUAAUAGAAGUCUCGAAAAUAAGUGAUCUAAAUAUAUAUAAUUGUUCCUGUGGAAGAAAGAAUAUAAAUAUAUAUUUAGAAAUUAGAUGUUUUUCGAACUUAUUUAUAUCUAGUUUUUUUCUAAUUAAAUUGAAUUUAGGCAUAUAAAUUAAUUUAGGUAAAAAUAAAAAUUACCUAAAUUUUUAUUUGCAAAAAACUUUCGGGACAAGCUGAAAGUUUAGAAUAUUCAGUUUAUUAACUCUAGUUGAUUGUAAAUUUAUGGUUUUAACAUUAAACAUUAAUUGAUAAAAUCUCAUAGUUUAUUGACUUAAUUUAAAAAUUUUGAAAGAGACUCAUAAUUCUGAAAUUUUCAAUGAAUAUUAUUUAGAAAAAAUAACCCUAAAUUAUAUAGGAUUAAUUAUAAUGAUUAAAUUAGUAGUGUAAAUACAAAAUUAAUGUAUAAUAUCAGUCCAAUAUACUAUAUAUAUAUAAGGAACUAGGCAAAACAAGUAUAUUCACCUGUUUAACAAAAACAUGUCUUAUUGAUAAUAAUUUUAAGUCGACCUGCCCAAUGAGUACUUGAAUGGCUGCAGUAUAACUGACUGUACAAAGGUAGCAUAAUCAAUUGGUUUUUAAAUGAAAUCUGGAAUGAAAGGAUUAAUGAAAUAUACACUGUCUCAUAUAUAUUUCAUGAACUUAAAAUUUUAAUUAAAAUGUUAAAAUUUUUUUAUGGGACGAUAAGACCCUAUAGAAUUUUAUAUAGUUACAUCUUAAUAGUUAAUAUAAAAAAUGUAGCAAUAUUUGGUUGGGAGGACUAUUAAAUUUUAUAAACUUUAAUUUCUGAUAACUUUAAUUAAAGAAAAAUUUUUCAAUGACCCUCAAUUUGGGAUAGCUAGAGUAAAUUACCUUAGGGAUAACAGCGUAAUAUUUUUUAUAGAUCGUAUAGAAAAAAGUGAUUGCGACCUCGAUGUUGAAUUAAGAUAAAUUUUGAACGCAGGAGUUUAAUAAUUAAGUCUGUUCGACUUUUAAAAUCUUACAUGAUUUGAGUUCCAAAUCGACGUAAGUCAGAUUGGUUUCUAUCUAUAAAUAUCUUUAAGUUGUUUGUACGAAAGGACUAUAACUUACAAAAUCUUUGUUUAGAACUUUAAUAAAUACCUUACU
RNAcentral lists this ribosomal RNA (1351 nucleotides) under Tetragonula pagdeni. RNAcentral's name for it is "16S ribosomal RNA". The record is from RNAcentral. Lineage: Eukaryota; Metazoa; Arthropoda; Insecta; Hymenoptera; Apidae.